UACGUAGGGCGCAAGCGUUAUCCGGAAUUAUUGGGCGUAAAGAGCUCGUAGGCGGUCUGUCGCGUCUGCUGUGAAAACUCGGGGCUUAACCCCGGGCCUGCAGUGGGUACGGGCAGACUAGAGUGCGGUAGGGGAGACUGGAAUUCCUGGUGUAGCGGUGAAAUGCGCAGAUAUCAGGAGGAACACCGAUGGCGAAGGCAGGUCUCUGGGCAUUAACUGACGCUGAGGAGCGAAAGCAUGGGGAGCGAACAGG
Molecule: ribosomal RNA, 253 nt
Filed under: uncultured bacterium
Lineage: Bacteria
Description: partial 16S ribosomal RNA
Rfam family: Bacterial small subunit ribosomal RNA
Source: RNAcentral